Molecule: long non-coding RNA, 1412 nt
Filed under: Amazona collaria (yellow-billed parrot)
Lineage: Eukaryota; Metazoa; Chordata; Aves; Psittaciformes; Psittacidae
Description: lncRNA (ENSACOG00000004518.1)
Source: RNAcentral
GGGUGUUGUGAGGUUUCGCAGAGAGAAAAUUAGAAGGUUUCCACCUGUACUUUGUGUCUAUAGUCUGGCUUCUGUGAGAACAAUCUGAUAUGAGUGGUUAUUUUCCUAGAUUGUUGGGUUUAGCCUUACCAGUUUUGGGAAAGAACUGCAAUUUUCAAAUGAAUUUUAACACAAGUUGAGGUAGGUUUUACUGUUUUGUUGCAGAGGGGUUUUGUAUUGUGAUAUCGCCACCUUGUGUUACUAGUUGGAAAUACCUUUUUUGUGCUUUAAACAGCUACUGGCCAAAUAUGAGCAUGAAAUGCAAAUUUUUGAAGAAGAGUGUCUGAAAUUAGAGGAAAAGAAAAAAGUUCUAGAAGAUGAAAUAGCUGUGUUUCGUGAGAAGCAAGCUAAUGCUGAGUUACUCCAGUCACAAGCAUCUACCUCUACCCUUGCUGUUAGUUUGAAGAAAGGCGAGGGCCACAAAAAAAGGAACGAAGGUUUUCGACUUGAAUUGCUGUGCUUUGAUAUCAGAGAUGAAGAAAUUGAGACUGUUCAUGAGCAGAAGCAAGAGGGAGAAGUUAUAGAGGGAGAAAAAUUCACCUGGGGGAUUCCAGAAGUGACAAAUUUGAUUGCAGCACUGAGGUCUUGAAUUUCCAGCUUUACAUAAUACUGACAACAGAAGAAGCAAUAUUGAUAAUUUUUCUUGAGAAGCAAUGAUUCACAGUGUGCUUUUGAUGGUGUAGAAGUUGCAGUUUCUUACUAAAGGAUUUGGAAAGUAUCUUUUGUUGCUGUAUGCUGCAAAAGAAGAAUUUUGAAGUAUGAUCUGUACACAUACAAUGCAGUGAUUACUGCAGUUGCCAUCAGGGACUUUCUGUUACAAAUCUACCUUGAUAUGGACUUACCUUACAUACAUGUGGCCAACUUACUGUCAUUUUAAGUGCAUGGUACCAGAGAAAAUGUCCCUCUAUAAACAGUUCCCAUUCAUACUACAAAUGUUGUAGUAGAAAAUUAUUCAGUGAAUGCAUCCUCUAUAACCUUUCUAAAGAGUUAUUUUCAUAUGGUAUGGUAUAUUAGUCAACUAAACAUUACUUAGUGCAAAUGUUGAUAUAAUUCAACCAUUUACUGAUUUUGCUGAUAUGCUUUGCUUGUAGGCUUCUAUGUACAAGCACUGUCCUAAAUUUCAGGUAUAAUCUUUCUAAUCAAAAUUUAUUCAGGUAUUUUCAGUGCUGUACUACUGCAUGAUAUUUUAUCUGACAUUACUAACUUAAUAUGGAAAGUACCUAUAACUUUUUGAUGCUUGUGACUGUGGUGUUCAGUUACAGCAGAGGCUAAUUUUGCAAAAACUAUACUACAAGAGCUUCAGGUUAAAACAAGCUUAAAAUGUUUUUAUUUUCUCAGUAGCCAUGAUAACUAAUGGGAAAUUGUAAAGGUGC